RNAcentral lists this small nuclear RNA (108 nucleotides) under Aotus nancymaae (Ma's night monkey). The record is from RNAcentral. Lineage: Eukaryota; Metazoa; Chordata; Mammalia; Primates; Aotidae.
GUGCUUGCUUCAGCAGCACAUAUACUAAAAUUGGAAUGAUACAAAGAAGAUUAGCACGGCCCCUGCACAAGGAUGACAUGCAAAUUCCUGAAGCAGUUCUAUAUUUUU